RNAcentral lists this small RNA (416 nucleotides) under Grosmannia penicillata. RNAcentral's name for it is "eukaryotic LSU rRNA". The stretch from base 75 to 228 matches the Rfam family "5.8S ribosomal RNA". Lineage: Eukaryota; Fungi; Ascomycota; Sordariomycetes; Ophiostomatales; Ophiostomataceae. The record is from RNAcentral.
CGCCGGAGGACCAGCGGCCGCACUGUGAACCUCUUCGUAUACUGAGCAGUUUGAGAAAAACCAUGAAUCGUUAAAACUUUCAACAACGGAUCUCUUGGUUCUGGCAUCGAUGAAGAACGCAGCGAACUGCGAUAAGUAAUGUGAAUUGCAGAAUUCAGUGAACCAUCGAAUCUUUGAACGCACAUUGCGCCCGCCAGCAUUCUGGCGGGCAUGCCUGUCCGAGCGUCAUUUCCACCCUCACGCGCCCCUUUAGUGCGUGGUGUUGGGGCAUACUGCGGCUGCCGCGAGGCACCGCAGGCCCUGAAACCCAGUGGCGGGCCGGCAGAAGGCUCCGAGCGCAGUAAGCAUCACGCCCUCGCUCCGGACGCCCCUGCUGGCAGCUCGCCCUGCGGCGGAAACGCUUGCAGCAACCAUUU